GCGCCCAACAAUUUAUGGCGCUGUAUAUCUCUGGAAAUCUGGUCCAGAAGUCUCUACCACAAGACCGAAUCUUGUGACUACAGUCCAACCCCCAUCCGGC
RNAcentral lists this non-coding RNA (100 nucleotides) under Ferrimonas balearica. RNAcentral describes it as "Guanine sequence". It matches the Rfam family "Purine riboswitch aptamer". From Rfam's summary of the family: Riboswitches are metabolite binding domains within certain messenger RNAs that serve as precision sensors for their corresponding targets. Allosteric rearrangement of mRNA structure is mediated by ligand binding, and this results in modulation of gene expression. A class of riboswitches that selectively recognises guanine and becomes saturated at concentrations as low as 5 nM. RNAcentral also lists the same sequence under 1 other name. The record is from RNAcentral. Lineage: Bacteria; Pseudomonadati; Pseudomonadota; Gammaproteobacteria; Alteromonadales; Ferrimonadaceae.